GGGCCUUUAGCUCAGCUGGCAGAGCAGGGGACUUUUAAUCCCAAGGUCGUGGGUUCGAACCCCACAGGGCCCACCA
Molecule: transfer RNA, 76 nt
Filed under: Coriobacteriaceae bacterium
Lineage: Bacteria; Bacillati; Actinomycetota; Coriobacteriia; Coriobacteriales; Coriobacteriaceae
Also listed under: 3 other names
Description: tRNA-Lys
Rfam family: tRNA
About the family: Transfer RNA (tRNA) molecules are approximately 80 nucleotides in length. Their secondary structure includes four short double-helical elements and three loops (D, anti-codon, and T loops).
Source: RNAcentral